CCUGUCAUUGAUGAUGAUCUUAUAUUAUAUAUUCUUGGAGGACUUGGAGAAGAAUAUGAUGUUGUGGUUUUCUUCGUCACUUAUAGAGCGGAAUUAAUUUCCUCGUUCGAUCUUUAUGGCUUGAUUUUAAGUCAUGAGU
Molecule: small nucleolar RNA, 139 nt
Filed under: Solanum tuberosum (potato)
Lineage: Eukaryota; Viridiplantae; Streptophyta; Magnoliopsida; Solanales; Solanaceae
Description: Small nucleolar RNA Z247
Rfam family: Small nucleolar RNA Z247
About the family: Z247 is a member of the C/D class of snoRNA which contain the C (UGAUGA) and D (CUGA) box motifs.
Source: Rfam by way of RNAcentral